AGGAGGGUGAUGCUGAGGACGAGGAAGACGAUGAGGGAGAUGAUACCCACCUCUGGGGAGGAAAACCACCCCAGCGUGCCAACCAUCCCUAACGGAGCCAUUGUCCUAGUGCUCUAAAGAAGAAAAAGAAAGCAAAAUCCAUGAACAAACACCGUGUAUUCUGCUCUUCCACCGACUGCUGUCAGUCCUUCAGCUGCCUCCUCUUUAUGUGGCAUUCAGACCAGUUAGGGAGGGACUCUUUGCACUGGUAUCCUGUCUGUCAUGAAGGAGGUGCUGACACCAGCCCAUAAACAGCCCUUUGUGUUGUUUAUCAUCUCCCAACUACGUCUGCACCUGAGUUCUUCAGCACCUGACAUGCCUGUGGCUUCCAGGAAUGUUGGAAUGCAUCUUUUAGUCGAACAUAGUGGCACAGUGACCUGAAAAGAUGCAUCAUCAAUAGGAAAAAAAACAAGAAAUCAAUGCAAAAAGUUGUUUGAACUGACUUAUAAUCCACAUUUAAGGUGGGUGAACCAGCCGCUGAUGUUAAUUCAUGUGCGGACUGUUGGUUUCUGUUGGAGAAAAGCUAAUUCAAUACGCAUUUAAACAAUAUCUCCCUCUAGCAUCCGUUUACAUGACUGCAGAAAACUGGCAGCUCUUACCAAGCCAAGGAUAAUUUCAUGCUCUUUUCUUGAUACAUUUUAUUUACGCAGGCUUCUUUGAAUCCCUAACAAACGUUUUAUGUAGUAUUGCUGCUAAUAAUCAGGCCGUUUUCCCGGUCUUAUUGAGAUAUUUAAACUCCAGAUAAUCUGUAAAUAUCCAGAAAAUACGCCCUAAAAUACGCUGCUGCUGCAUUAGUUUCUCUAACUUGCUCUGCACUGACAGCUGAUUGGCUCUGGCCACUGAAAUUAUUCUCACAAGGGAGGAAUUAAAGUAAAACAGGAUCUUUCUUGUAAUGCGGGGCACGACUCGGGUCUGGAUGCAGACUGGGACCAGUCCAAUUAGAUUACUGAACUUCUGAGGUGCAAUUUCACUUCUGCACAUAGAAGUUAGAUAGAUAGAUAAAUCUGGAUGGCUGCUUUUGGCCUGCAGGCCUCAUGUUGGACACCCCUGGUCUACUGGCUCCAGACAGAUUUAAGAAUUAAUCUUAUGAUGGCAUUUUGUAAAAAUGUGAAUAAGCACACCUGCUGAGUGGUAAUAAUAGUUUUAGUUUGUCUGUUUCUUCUCCUCAUCCCAGCUGAUCCUGGUUCUUCCUCUUAAAUUUGAUUUAUUUUCUUCCCACUGUCACCAAAAUGCUUCCUACAAGGAUCUCAUGUGGAUUUGUUGGGCUUUUCCUAGAAUACAGGGGUGUCCAACAUGAGGCCCGUGGGCCAAAAGUGGUCCUCCAGAGGGUCCAAUCCGGUCCUCAAAGUGUAAAAAUUCCAGAGAAGACAUUAACUGCAGAUUGUAAAUUAGUAAAACUAUAAAUUUAAAAUAAUUUCUAGACCAUGACAAGUUGUUUUCAUCAUAAAGUAAAAUACUAGAUUGUUCAUUGUUGUUUUGAGGUUUCGUGUCUCAUUUUUGUAAUAUUUUGUCUUGUUUUUGUUGUUUUUUGUCUUUUUUGAAGUAAAAUCCUCUAUGGUUCAGUUCCAGAUAUCUGUGACUAAAUGUUGUGUUCCUUUGUAGACACUCUGUGAUCUGGAAGUUGUAACGUGGAAAUGAUAAACUGAGGUUGAAUGUUGCUGGAAUUGAAUUUAUUUUUCUUAACAAAAUGCGGAGUUGUGGUUAUUUAUAGGUUAUUAUGCUGUGAUUUUACUGGUCCGAUCCACUGGAGAUCAAACUGGACUGAAUAUGGAACCUGAACUAUGAUGAGUUUGAUUCUCCUGCUAUAAUACAUGUAAUAUUAUAAGGUUUUGACCUUAAUA
Molecule: long non-coding RNA, 1880 nt
Organism: Amphiprion ocellaris (clown anemonefish)
Lineage: Eukaryota; Metazoa; Chordata; Actinopteri; Pomacentridae
Exons: 2
Source: RefSeq, a predicted model, not a curated record